AACGAACGCUGGCGGCAUGCCUAACACAUGCAAGUCGAACGAGACCUUCGGGUCUAGUGGCGCACGGGUGCGUAACGCGUGGGAACCUGCCCUUAGGUUCGGAAUAACUCCCCGAAAGGGGUGCUAAUACCGGAUAAUGUCUUCGGACCAAAGAUUUAUCGCGUUUGGAUGGGCCCGCGUUGGAUUAGCUAGUUGGUAGGGUAAAAGCCUACCAAGGCGACGAUCCAUAGCUGGUCUGAGAGGAUGAUCAGCCACACUGGGACUGAGACACGGCCGAGACUCCUACGGGAGGCAGCAGUGGGGAAUAUUGGACAAUGGGCGAAAGCCUGAUCCAGCAAUGCCGCGUGAGUGAUGAAGGCCUUAGGGUUGUAAAGCUCUUUUACCCGGGAUGAUAAUGACAGUACCGGGAGAAUAAGCUCCGGCUAACUCCGUG
RNAcentral lists this ribosomal RNA (433 nucleotides) under uncultured bacterium. RNAcentral describes it as "partial 16S ribosomal RNA". It matches the Rfam family "Bacterial small subunit ribosomal RNA", at positions 29 to 507 of the family's 1533-position model. The record is from RNAcentral.